GAUUAACGCUGGCGGCGUGCCUAACACAUGCAAGUCGAGCGGCAGCGAGUUUUACACUGAAUUCUGGAAGCUUCUAGUUGAAAGAGAAGAUUUAUUCAAGAAUUUUGUGUAAAAUGUCGGCGAGCGGCGGACGGCUGAGUAACGCGUGGGAACGUACCCCAAAGUGAGGGAUAACGCAUCGAAAGGUGUGCUAAUACCGCAUAUGGUCUUCGGAUUAAAGCCUUCGGGCGCUUUGGGAACGGCCUGCGUAAGAUUAGAUAGUUGGUGGGGUAAUGGCCUACCAAGGCGACGAUCUGUACCUGGGUUGAGAGGAUGAGCCGACACUCUGGCACUGGGACACGGUCCAGACUCCUACGGGAGGCAGCAGUGAGUAAUCUACCAAAAUGGGCGAAAGCCUGAUGGAGCAACGCCGCGUGCAGGAUGAAGGCCUUCGGGUUGUAAACUGCUUUUAUAAGUGAGGAUUAUGACAGUACCUUAUGAAUAAGGAUCGGCCAACUACGUG
This 502-nucleotide ribosomal RNA is filed under the name uncultured bacterium. Its description in RNAcentral is "partial 16S ribosomal RNA". It matches the Rfam family "Bacterial small subunit ribosomal RNA", at positions 28 to 507 of the family's 1533-position model. The record is from RNAcentral.